This 395-nucleotide long non-coding RNA is filed under the name Pogona vitticeps (central bearded dragon). RNAcentral describes it as "lncRNA (ENSPVIG00000010279.1)". The record is from RNAcentral. Lineage: Eukaryota; Metazoa; Chordata; Lepidosauria; Squamata; Agamidae.
CCCUUUGGAGACCAAAAGAUGGACUUGCGCUCUGGAUAUUGUUAGCACUUUAAGAAGAAUCACUUUUGGAAUGGAAAACAGAACGAAGGCUCAGAGCCCCUGUAAAGGGUUUGCUCAGCUUUAAGAGGGCUUUGGUGUUUGACACUUUCUUAGAAUGGAUUCAUGACUGUUUUGUAGCAUCCAAAACAUCAACAUUUAUUUCUGGAGCACACCUACUUGUGUAAUUAUAGCAGGUUCAAGAGAAGCAUCCGUGAGCGCUAAGUGAUUCCUUUCAAGCCAAGAUUCUCACGACGGCUGCAACCCGAAAGGAUUACAGGGCCCAAACAGUGGGGAAGAAAAGCUGCUUCAAAAUAAUGCAGCCAAGACAAUGGGGUUACCGUUCCGGUAGCAAAGCG